RNAcentral lists this ribosomal RNA (650 nucleotides) under Streptomyces sp. JSM 20.1. RNAcentral's name for it is "bacterial SSU rRNA". It matches the Rfam family "Bacterial small subunit ribosomal RNA", at positions 29 to 696 of the family's 1533-position model. The record is from RNAcentral. Lineage: Bacteria; Bacillati; Actinomycetota; Actinomycetes; Kitasatosporales; Streptomycetaceae.
ACGAACGCUGGCGGCGUGCUUAACACAUGCAAGUCGAACGAUGAAGCCUUUCGGGGUGGAUUAGUGGCGAACGGGUGAGUAACACGUGGGCAAUCUGCCCUUCACUCUGGGACAAGCCCUGGAAACGGGGUCUAAUACCGGAUAACACUCUGUCCCGCAUGGGACGGGGUUAAAAGCUCCGGCGGUGAAGGAUGAGCCCGCGGCCUAUCAGCUUGUUGGUGGGGUAAUGGCCUACCAAGGCGACGACGGGUAGCCGGCCUGAGAGGGCGACCGGCCACACUGGGACUGAGACACGGCCCAGACUCCUACGGGAGGCAGCAGUGGGGAAUAUUGCACAAUGGGCGAAAGCCUGAUGCAGCGACGCCGCGUGAGGGAUGACGGCCUUCGGGUUGUAAACCUCUUUCAGCAGGGAAGAAGCGAAAGUGACGGUACCUGCAGAAGAAGCGCCGGCUAACUACGUGCCAGCAGCCGCGGUAAUACGUAGGGCGCAAGCGUUGUCCGGAAUUAUUGGGCGUAAAGAGCUCGUAGGCGGCUUGUCACGUCGGAUGUGAAAGCCCGGGGCUUAACCCCGGGUCUGCAUUCGAUACGGGCUAGCUAGAGUGUGGUAGGGGAGAUCGGAAUUCCUGGUGUAGCGGUGAAAUGCGCAGAUA